This 236-nucleotide unclassified non-coding RNA is filed under the name Hevea brasiliensis (rubber tree). Lineage: Eukaryota; Viridiplantae; Streptophyta; Magnoliopsida; Malpighiales; Euphorbiaceae. The record is from RNAcentral.
UCUCGCUAAAAAAUGCAUAACCCUCCUCUAUCCUCAUGGUGUUUCUGAUCGAUGGUGAGAUCCGUGAAAAUGAAGACCCAGGUCGCAAAGGUGAAGAAGAAGACGAAGCCCUCCUCUUAUCCUUCNNNNNAUGCCAGCUGAUGCCCAUCUGAUGCACGCCUCUAUCCUCAAGUUCAAUGCAAAAAUCCUCCAAAGCACAUCUUCACUUCCCAUCACUAGAACAUUGGGCUUCACAG